Molecule: ribosomal RNA, 224 nt
Filed under: uncultured prokaryote
Description: partial 16S ribosomal RNA
Rfam family: Bacterial small subunit ribosomal RNA
Source: RNAcentral
UACAGAGACUGCGAGCGUUAUUCGGAUUCACUGGGCGUAAAGGGUGCGCAGGCGGCCGAGUGUGUGAGGCGUGAAAGCCCGGGGCUUAACCCCGGAAUUGCACCUCAAACUACACGGCUAGAGCAUUGGAGAGGGUAGCAGAAUUCAUGGUGUAGCAGUGAAAUGCGUAGAUAUCAAGAGGAACACCUGCGGCGAAGGCGGGUUGCUGGGCCGACACUGACGCU